This 2232-nucleotide ribosomal RNA is filed under the name Salmonella enterica subsp. enterica serovar Enteritidis str. CDC_2010K_1444. RNAcentral's name for it is "bacterial LSU rRNA". It matches the Rfam family "Bacterial large subunit ribosomal RNA", at positions 594 to 2812 of the family's 2925-position model. The record is from RNAcentral. Lineage: Bacteria; Pseudomonadati; Pseudomonadota; Gammaproteobacteria; Enterobacterales; Enterobacteriaceae.
UGACUGCGUACCUUUUGUAUAAUGGGUCAGCGACUUAUAUUCUGUAGCAAGGUUAACCGAAUAGGGGAGCCGGAGGGAAACCGAGUCUUAAGGGCGUUAAGUUGCAGGGUAUAGACCCGAAACCCGGUGAUCUAGCCAUGGGCAGGUUGAAGGUUGGGUAACACUAACUGGAGGACCGAACCGACUAAUGUUGAAAAAUUAGCGGAUGACCUGUGGCUGGGGGUGAAAGGCCAAUCAAACCGGGAGAUAGCUGGUUCUCCCCGAAAGCUAUUUAGGUAGCGCCUCGUGAAUUCAUCUCCGGGGGUAGAGCACUGUUUCGGCUAGGGGGCCAUCCCGGCUUACCAACCCGAUGCAAACUGCGAAUACCGGAGAAUGUUAUCACGGGAGACACACGGCGGGUGCUAACGUCCGUCGUGAAGAGGGAAACAACCCAGACCGCCAGCUAAGGUCCCAAAGUCAUGGUUAAGUGGGAAACGAUGUGGGAAGGCCCAGACAGCCAGGAUGUUGGCUUAGAAGCAGCCAUCAUUUAAAGAAAGCGUAAUAGCUCACUGGUCGAGUCGGCCUGCGCGGAAGAUGUAACGGGGCUAAACCAUGCACCGAAGCUGCGGCAGCGACACUGUGUGUUGUUGGGUAGGGGAGCGUUCUGUAAGCCUGUGAAGGUGUGUCGUGAGGCAUGCUGGAGGUAUCAGAAGUGCGAAUGCUGACAUAAGUAACGAUAAAGCGGGUGAAAAGCCCGCUCGCCGGAAGACCAAGGGUUCCUGUCCAACGUUAAUCGGGGCAGGGUGAGUCGACCCCUAAGGCGAGGCCGAAAGGCGUAGUCGAUGGGAAACGGGUUAAUAUUCCCGUACUUGGUGUUACUGCGAAGGGGGGACGGAGAAGGCUAUGUUGGCCGGGCGACGGUUGUCCCGGUUUAAGCGUGUAGGUGUGUGUUCCAGGUAAAUCCGGUUCACUUUAACACUGAGGCGUGACGACGAGGCACUACGGUGCUGAAGCAACAAAUGCCCUGCUUCCAGGAAAAGCCUCUAAGCAUCAGGUAACAUCAAAUCGUACCCCAAACCGACACAGGUGGUCAGGUAGAGAAUACCAAGGCGCUUGAGAGAACUCGGGUGAAGGAACUAGGCAAAAUGGUGCCGUAACUUCGGGAGAAGGCACGCUGACACGUAGGUGAAGUGAUUUACUCAUGGAGCUGAAGUCAGUCGAAGAUACCAGCUGGCUGCAACUGUUUAUUAAAAACACAGCACUGUGCAAACACGAAAGUGGACGUAUACGGUGUGACGCCUGCCCGGUGCCGGAAGGUUAAUUGAUGGGGUCAGCGCAAGCGAAGCUCCUGAUCGAAGCCCCGGUAAACGGCGGCCGUAACUAUAACGGUCCUAAGGUAGCGAAAUUCCUUGUCGGGUAAGUUCCGACCUGCACGAAUGGCGUAAUGAUGGCCAGGCUGUCUCCACCCGAGACUCAGUGAAAUUGAACUCGCUGUGAAGAUGCAGUGUACCCGCGGCAAGACGGAAAGACCCCGUGAACCUUUACUAUAGCUUGACACUGAACAUUGAGCCUUGAUGUGUAGGAUAGGUGGGAGGCUUUGAAGUGUGGACGCCAGUCUGCAUGGAGCCGACCUUGAAAUACCACCCUUUAAUGUUUGAUGUUCUAACGUGGACCCGUUACCCGGGUUGCGGACAGUGUCUGGUGGGUAGUUUGACUGGGGCGGUCUCCUCCUAAAGAGUAACGGAGGAGCACGAAGGUUGGCUAAUCCUGGUCGGACAUCAGGAGGUUAGUGCAAUGGCAUAAGCCAGCUUGACUGCGAGCGUGACGGCGCGAGCAGGUGCGAAAGCAGGUCAUAGUGAUCCGGUGGUUCUGAAUGGAAGGGCCAUCGCUCAACGGAUAAAAGGUACUCCGGGGAUAACAGGCUGAUACCGCCCAAGAGUUCAUAUCGACGGCGGUGUUUGGCACCUCGAUGUCGGCUCAUCACAUCCUGGGGCUGAAGUAGGUCCCAAGGGUAUGGCUGUUCGCCAUUUAAAGUGGUACGCGAGCUGGGUUUAGAACGUCGUGAGACAGUUCGGUCCCUAUCUGCCGUGGGCGCUGGAGAACUGAGGGGGGCUGCUCCUAGUACGAGAGGACCGGAGUGGACGCAUCACUGGUGUUCGGGUUGUCAUGCCAAUGGCACUGCCCGGUAGCUAAAUGCGGAAGAGAUAAGUGCUGAAAGCAUCUAAGCACGAAACUUGCCCCGAGAUGAGUUCU